CCACGCCCAAUAACACGCCCCGAAAAUAAACUAACAUGUGCAUUCACUCCACAGAAACACAACAUGGAAAAUCAGCAAACAAAAAUACCGGCCCUGAUGACGCUGCGACUGACGAGACCGACGACAACGACGACACAAACAGAAAAAACACCACUAUUACAAACACCAGGACAGGCCCCACACCCACACAAAUACGGACGCGACGGCAUACACCAGACGGAGACCCGACGAACCCUACUACCGACACCCCCCACAUACAGAAAGCCACACAGAGACACUCACAAACACACACAA
Molecule: long non-coding RNA, 294 nt
Organism: Neodiprion fabricii
Lineage: Eukaryota; Metazoa; Arthropoda; Insecta; Hymenoptera; Diprionidae
Exons: 2
Source: RefSeq, a predicted model, not a curated record